CCUCGGGGCUCCAGUAGGGGGUUUGUGCUCCACUUCCUCAUUCAAUACAGACGAGUGAAGGAAAGAGUUGCGUGUGUGUUUUUCCUCAUUCUUCUCCCUUUUUUAAGGGGCAGUGAGCUGGAGGCCCAGUAGUAGUCUGCGAGCCCGUGCCCAGGAACACCUGGUUAGCACCGUGAUGAAGGACAGCCAGAGUCGGCCAACCGGUGUUCAGCAUCGCUCUGCCCCGCCCACUGUGAGAAGAGACAUUUCUACUUACAAGCCAGGAUUAUCAGGAUCACCACGGUACCCCCUCUCUGCUCGGUCCACCUCGGCCCGGCGCCCCGCUCCGGCAGAGGAACUCUCCCCCCUCCUCUCUCUCUCCCGUCUCCCUCCCCCCUCCCUCUCUGGCCCGUGCUCCGGGGGCGUGUCCUUGCGGCCCGUGUCCCGCGCCGCCCAGGAGAUCCAGGACAUCAGCGGUGUGGACCGGGCGAGCGGAGAGGACCCCAGGGAGGACGCGGACGCGGAGGCCCUGACCCGCCUGGAGGAGGAGCUCAGACUCAUGGUCCAUGAUACAAGCGCUCGGCCCGCGUUAAUAAGGAGCGCAGGCCACGGAGCACAAGGCCAGCGGAGGACUAAAGAUCUGACAUGGGGCGGAGUCAGUGAGGAGCAGAAACAGGAGGAAGAGGAAGUGGCGAGAGAUCACCAGAGUGUCUUGUCACUGCCUUGAAGCACGCCGAGUCAGAUAUGGAUGAACCGGCAUGUGGAUGUAUGCAUGUGGGUGUAUGCAUGUGCACACACACACAGUCACACACAGUCACACACACACACACACACACACACACACACACACACACACACACACACACACACACACACACACACACACACACACACACACACAUGCACACGCACACGCACACACACACCUGUCAUUUUUGGGGACUACUUUAAAACAAUAGAUAGACUAAUUUGCAUUUAUUUUCGAAACCUUCACUGUCAUGUAGAUAAGUGAGGCUACUGACUGUGCCUUGUAUUCUGUGUAGUCAGCCCUGGCAAUAAGCUAUUAGCUUACCAUUGGCUUUUUAAAAAAAAAUCAGGAAACGGGUGAGACAUUGUGACAUGACUAAGCAUUAAAGAAUCCAAUCUGAU
Long non-coding RNA from Gadus morhua (Atlantic cod), 1128 nucleotides. Lineage: Eukaryota; Metazoa; Chordata; Actinopteri; Gadiformes; Gadidae. The record is from Ensembl.